Molecule: long non-coding RNA, 516 nt
Filed under: Phoenix dactylifera (date palm)
Lineage: Eukaryota; Viridiplantae; Streptophyta; Magnoliopsida; Arecales; Arecaceae
Description: long non-coding RNA (PDAC_LNC022752)
Source: RNAcentral
UUCCUAGUGCGAAUCCUGCCUUUCUUGUCAUACCAAAGAUUCCUAUCCCAGCAAUGUCGGCACAAUCGCAUUCUUUAUCUGAACUCGAAUCCUUUCCUGCUAUAACCUUUGUAAUCUCUAAUAUCUUCAAUCCAAUCCCAAUCAAGCUUGAUGGCAGCGCGAGCAACUGUUCUUACCGUGUUGUUGUUGCUGCUCCUAUCCGAAUGAAGGAUGUACUCAGUCAUGACCCAAGUUGUUGAGACCUCUCCUCCAGAAGCUUCCAAUCGACGAAAUCUGAAAUCCUGCGUGUAGCCCCACAAUCUCGCUACUCCGGUAGAUGGUCUUUUGUCCAUCAGUAGAUUUCCAGCAUCCCCUCCCGUCGACGGUGCACCGAUUUCGGGUCGGUCGACACCGAACCUGCCUGUAGAAGCAAUCUGUGCAGUAGCACAGUCUCCCCAAACUACGAACGUCUACAGGAGCCACAUCGACCAAGAGUUGGGCGUUUGCAAAUCAAAUGAAUAUUGAGGUGAAUGCUCU